GAAAGAAGGAGGGAAAGGGGAGUAAAUUAUAUAAAAAUGAGAGCAAAAUGGGGGGUUUAAAAUCAGGAGUCAAACUGGUAGCAAAACUCCAAUAUAAAAUUUAGUAUUCUUUAGUAAAUCCAAAAAAGGCAAGAAGUCAGACUCUGUACUUGAGUUAAGGUUAAAGAUCAAAACAAAGAGAGGACAUUUAAAAAUUAAGUCUCAAUUAAAAAAAUAAACAAACUUGAGGGCGUGCCAAACGGCAGCAGAAGCAGAUUUGCAAGUUUCGGUUGUUCAAGGACAAAGGUGGCAAUCUCCAGGACAGGCCGUUCAGGGUCUGAGGCCUGUUCAAUCUUUUCUCCUGAGAGCCGCCAUUUUCCGUCUCAAAUACUACCUCUGCGAGAAUGGGCCACUGUGCCCACACCUGCAGCCAGACUCUUUUCUGUGGGACAAUGCCAGUUCCUGCGACACUUCACCUUGUUUGCUGGUAAGGUCAAGUUCUUUUUCUUGGGAGGGGGGCGCAAUCUUCAGCCAGUGGCCAGUGCACCAAGCGGGGCAAGUAGGAUGUCCAUGCAUUUAUCCGAGCAAACCCCGCAACAUGCACUGAACCCCCGACUUGCUUCCCCUGGCUCCUGCGGUUUCUGUGGACCCAUCUGGCUGACACACACGCAUCCAGCUGUGAAGGACAGGGGCAGGGCAGGGCCUCCUGCUUGGCAGGAGCUUGACUUUUUCAUGGUGCCCAAAGGAAGAAAAGCAGACCCAGCAGGACUUGAUCACCCCAUCUAGGCGAUCAAAUCUAAUGUGCCAUCAAAUCUAAUUCACACCUUAAUUUUCGUGACAGUAUUUGGCCAAAAACGGUGUGCAUUAGAUUCAAGUAAAUAACUGUAGUUGGGUCAUCUGCCUGAUCUAGCAGGCCUUUUCAUGUUCUUAGGAAUCUGUUAUGGCUGGAGAACAUUUUAUAAUCAAGCUCUGUCUGCUUUUUGGGAGGCGUGUGCACACCCACAAGAGUGGCUUAUUCCUUUCUUAAGGGUCUGGCAAAUCCUUUUGAGAGAAGCACAUGUGCACGUUAAGCAGUGUUUCACAACCUGGUAACCUCCAGAUGUAGUUUGAACAAACUACCAUCCCAUCAUCCCUCACACAGGAGGCUGGUCAACAUGGACAGAGAAGUCCCUACCCUGCUGCCUGUGUGGUCACGCCAUCAAAUAAGUUCUUAGGGCUUCAUUUUUGCAAAACCCACUUUGUGUGUGCUGGGAUGAACAGCACUGUGUACACAAGAGAGGCUUCAAAUGAAUGAAUAAUGGCACAGGGUAGCUGACUUUCCCUAUCCUUUCACGUUUGACCCACUGACGUGAGGAGAAGCUUUGGGAUAUCUGCUAUUUUUAUUUGUUUGAUGACACAGCCAUGUACGCCCAAGGAAAGUAUGUUAUCUGAAGGCUUGAGUUAGAAUUAUCUUUCAAUAAAAUGGCACUGUGCCGAAUCACAGAGCAGUUUGCUAAAGGAUUGCAGCUUCCAAAAACAUUAGCAGGCCAAAAAGUACGUAGCUCAGCAAAGCAAGUCUCCUUGAACCUCAGGAUAUUUGCUUUAUAGCUAAUGUUUAUUUCAGCUAUCCAAAACCCACAAAUAGCUGAAUGGAGGCUAGCUUUAUUCUGCCUUUGGCAUAUCUUUUAACUGAAAUUACAUCCUACAGCAUCUUUGUAUUUGGUUAAAAUCUCCUGGCGUGCACCAGCUGCUUGCUUAUGAAAGGGGACAGAAAUAAAAGUGUCUUAAGAAGAAAACAAUAGGCUUUUUAUUUAAGCAAAACCCCAACAGGCCGAGACAAUUCAAAAAGGAGAAUUUAACUGUGAUAGUGCCUAGCAUAGUUCAAGUUAGAAUAAUAUUUAGAUCCAAGAUUUUGUGUGGCUAAAAUCAAGGCCGUCAUGGGCCUUUGGAGAAUGGAGUGUAAUGGGCCACAACCUCCUUACCCAGCUGUGAACUCUCAUAUGAAAUGUUUGCGCUGGUGCUUACACAGAGAGAAACGAUUAUGGGCAACAUAAUAAUGUACGUAGAGCCCAGCUGAAUCGGGCCAAUGGCCCAUCUAGUCCAGCAUUCUGUUCUCACAGUGGCCAUCCAGAUGCCUGUGGGAAUCCUGCAAGCAGGACCGGAACACGAGAAUUCUCCAGAAGCUGGUAUUCAGAAGCAUUGCUGACUUCAGCUGUGAGGGGCACAGCAUUGUGGUGUAGUGGUUAAGAGCGGUAGUCUUGUGAUCUGGUGAACCGGGUUCGCAUCUCCGCUCCUCCACUUACAGCUGCUGGGUGACCUUGGGCUAGUCACACUUCUUUGAAGUCUCUCAGCCCCACUCACCUCACAGAGUGUUUGUUGUGGGGGAGGAAGGGAAAGGAGAAUGUUAGCCGCUUUGAGACUCCUUCGGGUAGUGAUAAAGUGGGAUAUCAAAUCCAAACUCUUCUAUGGUUAGUUGACGUUGAGAGACUUAUCCUCCAUGAAUUUGUCUAACUCUCUUAAAGUCAUCCAAGUCGAUGGCCCUCGCUGCCUCCUAUGGGAGUGAGUUCCCAGCUCUGCAUGAAUAAGAGCUUUCUUUUAUCUGCCUGCUACUUCCUGAAAUUUUGCUUUAAAAAAAAAUAAUAAUCCAGAUAUUGCAUCUAAUGGAUUUAUUAACAUCAACAUCAUGCUGUCUGCGCAUAGGGUGAUCAGAUGCUCUUUACCUUGAAUAUCUGGGUCUGUAGUCUUUGGAGGCUAAACAAGCAGUUGCUAAAAAAUAAGUAAGAUUGGACAUAGUGGACAUCCUUGUCUCUGUAUAACUUGAUUGAUUGUGAGUACAAAUUGUAUGCUCUAAUUCAAGCAUUUGAGGGGAACAGUGCAUUUUUAAAUCUAGGGACAGAAAUUUGAAAGAGAAUUUAGCAGAAAUUUACGGUUAACACAAUUGGAAGGCUUUAAGUAAGUCUAAAAGAGCAAGAGGUAUUUUGUGCAGUUUGCUGUUCAAUUACACCAAAUAAUCCUCUGGAUCUGCAAUAGUAGCUUUUUGGAACAAAGGCAAAUUGGUCUGAAUUAUGGCAAUGUAGUUGCAUGCAGUUGGCAGAAGUACUAAUGUACAUUAAAAUAAUAAUAAUACUAACAUGUGGUCGGCUGACCGGUGCUGCUUUGAGCCACCAAAGCCAGUUUGCUUUAUUUUUAUUUAUUUAUUUUGCCGCAAGGUGUAGGGAUGUGUCUCAAGACAUACACUUUGCCUCAUGGAGAAAUUUCUGGUAGUUUUUGUCAGUGUUUGU
Molecule: non-coding RNA, 3239 nt
Organism: Podarcis lilfordi (Lilford's wall lizard)
Lineage: Eukaryota; Metazoa; Chordata; Lepidosauria; Squamata; Lacertidae
Source: the annotation of a GenBank genome assembly